AUUGAACGCUGGCGGCAGGCCUAACACAUGCAAGUCGAACGGUAACAGGAAACAGCUUGCUGUUUCGCUGACGAGUGGCGGACGGGUGGGUAAUGUCUGGGAAACUGCCUGAUGGAGGGGGAUAACUACUGGAAACGGUAGCUAAUACCGCAUAACGUCGCAAGACCAAAGAGGGGGACCUUCGGGCCUCUUGCCAUCGGAUGUGCCCAGAUGGGAUUAGCUAGUAGGUGGGGUAACGGCUCACCUAGGCGACGAUCCCUAGCUGGUCUGAGAGGAUGACCAGCCACACUGGAACUGAGACACGGUCCAGACUCCUACGGGAGGCAGCAGUGGGGAAUAUUGCACAAUGGGCGCAAGCCUGAUGCAGCCAUGCCGCGUGUAUGAAGAAGGCCUUCGGGUUGUAAAGUUCUUUCAGCGGGGAGGAAGGGAGUAAAGUUAAUACCUUUACUCAUUGACGUUACCCGCAGAAGAAGCACCGGCUAACUCCGUG
RNAcentral lists this ribosomal RNA (490 nucleotides) under uncultured bacterium. Its description in RNAcentral is "partial 16S ribosomal RNA". It matches the Rfam family "Bacterial small subunit ribosomal RNA", at positions 30 to 507 of the family's 1533-position model. The record is from RNAcentral.